Molecule: ribosomal RNA, 253 nt
Filed under: uncultured bacterium
Lineage: Bacteria
Description: partial 16S ribosomal RNA
Rfam family: Bacterial small subunit ribosomal RNA
Source: RNAcentral
UACAGAGGGGGCAAGCGUUAUUCGGAAUUAUUGGGCGUAAAGGGCGCGUAGGCGGCCUUGUAAGUCCCGUGUGAAAGCCCCCGGCUCAACUGGGGAAUUACACGGGAAACUGCGGGGCUUGAGUUCGGGAGAGGGAAGCGGAAUUCCGGGUGUAGCGGUGAAAUGCGUAGAUAUCCGGAGGAACACCAGUGGCGAAGGCGGCUUCCUGGACCGACACUGACGCUGAGGCGCGAAAGCUAGGGGAGCAAACGGG